Molecule: ribosomal RNA, 464 nt
Filed under: Haptophyta environmental samples
Lineage: Eukaryota; Haptophyta
Description: SSU rRNA
Rfam family: Eukaryotic small subunit ribosomal RNA
Source: RNAcentral
GCGCGUAAAUUGCCCGAAUCCUGACACAGGGAGGUAGUGACAAGAAAUAACAAUACAGGGCUACUUUAGUCUUGUAAUUGGAAUGAGUACAAUUUACAUCUCUUCACGAGGAUCAAUUGGAGGGCAAGUCUGGUGCCAGCAGCCGCGGUAAUUCCAGCUCCAAUAGCGUAUAUUAAAGUUGUUGCAGUUAAAACGCUCGUAGUCGGAUUUCGGGGCCUGCCUGCCGGUCUGCCGAUGGGUAUGCACUGGCAGGCGCGUCCUUCCUUCCGGAGACUGUCCCUACUCUUAACUGAGCGGGGUCGGGAGACGGAUCGUUUACUUUGAAAAAAUCAGAGUGUUUCAAGCAGGCAGCUCGCUCUUGCAUGGAUUAGCAUGGGAUAAUGAAAUAGGACUUUGGUGCUAUUUUGUUGGUUUCGAACACCGAAGUAAUGAUUAACAGGGACAGUCAGGGGCACUCGUAUUCC